UGGGGAAUCUUCCGCAAUGGACGAAAGUCUGACGGAGCAACGCCGCGUGAGUGAAGACGGCCUUCGGGUUGUAAAGCUCUGUGAUCCGGGACGAAAGAGCCUGAGGUGAAAAGCCUAAGGAAGUGACGGUACCGGAAAAGCAAGCCACGGCUAACUACGUGCCAGCAGCCGCGGUAAUACGUAGGUGGCAAGCGUUGUCCGGAAUUAUUGGGCGUAAAGCGCGCGCAGGCGGCUUCCUAAGUCCAUCUUAAAAGUGCGGGGCUUAACCCCGUGAUGGGAUGGAAACUGGGAAGCUGGAGUAUCGGAGAGGAAAGUGGAAUUCCUAGUGUAGCGGUGAAAUGCGUAGAGAUUAGGAAGAACACCGGUGGCGAAGGCGACUUUCUGGACGAAAACUGACGCUGAGGCGCGAAAGCGUGGGGAGCAAACAGG
This 429-nucleotide ribosomal RNA is filed under the name Fusobacteriota bacterium. Its description in RNAcentral is "Fusobacteria bacterium partial 16S ribosomal RNA". It matches the Rfam family "Bacterial small subunit ribosomal RNA", at positions 355 to 776 of the family's 1533-position model. Lineage: Bacteria; Fusobacteriati; Fusobacteriota. The record is from RNAcentral.